UUCUUAUUUAUAUUUUUAUGUAUUUUUUUGAAACAGAGUCUCACUCUGUCACCGAGGCUGGAGGCACAAUCACGGCUCACUGUAGUGUCGACCUCCCAGCUUCAAGCAAUCUUCCCAUUUUAGCCUCCCAAGUAGCUAGGACUACAGGUGCGCUCUAACAUGCCUGGCUAUUUUUGUAAUUUUAGUAGAGAUGAGGUUUUGCCAUGCUGCCCAGGCUGGUCUUGAACUACUGGGCUCCAGUGAUCUGCCCACCUCUGUCUCCCAAAGUGUUGGGAUUACAGGCAUGAGCCACUGCACUAGUCCAAAAUUAUUUUUAAAUGGUGAUUUUCUUCUGGGAAGUAUGUAGAAUUGGUCAGUCUUUUUGAUUGAACUUUUCUGGAUGAGGUUAAAUCUUGCUGGAAAGCCUUUUAGCAGUACUAUGUAUUAACAGUAAAUACAUUUUUAGGAAUGUGACCUAAAGAAACAAUCAGAAAUGCAAUUGAAGCUUUUGUAAAAAAUGUUCUUUGGAAGAUUAUAAUGGCAAAAAUAAGUGACCGAAAUAUCAGUAAAGGGAAAGGAUCAAAUACAGUGUAGACACAAUAAAAUGUUUUUAUAACUGUUAAACAUUUAGUUUAGAAAAAAAUUUUUAUGUCCUGGGUAAAAACCAGGAUAUAGAACUGAGCGUAUAGGAAUGUAUAUGGGAUAUCAGCUUUGUAAAAUACAUAUGUAUAUCAGUACUUACCAUAAGACAGGGCAAAAAGAAAAAUAAAAAAAAUACAUAUGUGCAUAGAAAAACUUAUAUGGUUAGCAGGAUGUACACCAAAAUAUUAUGUCAGUUAUCUCUGAGUAAUGGUACUCUGGAAGAUUUUUAUUUUCUUCUUUAUACUUUUUUGAAGUUACUGGAUUUCUUAUCAAUGAGCAUGUCUACUUUUAUAGUUAGAGGAGGGAACACCUUAUAAAUGAAGCUGCUUAUUUUUUAAGUAAGAGAAGCUAUUAUUGUUUACUUGAAAUGAUAUAAAAUAUUCCUCUUCUUAAACUUUCUUAUAGCCAUUUAAAUGGAUGUUCCCUGGAAAUGCUAAGCAGGCCUUCCCUACUUAUCACAGAUUCAUUCAAUGCUACAUAUGUACAGCCUAGAAGAAAACAGAGAGAUGAGCAGCUUCUGAGUACGUAUUCUUUCACGUCCUUAUUAUUAUUAUUAUUUUGUAACUUUUUGUAUAUUUAGGGAAUAUAAGUACAUAAAAGUACAGGUUUCUUUUUUUUUUUGAGACGGACUUUCGCUCUUUCACCCAGGCUGGAGUGAAGUGGCGCGAUCUCGGCUCACUGUAACUUCCGCCUCCUGGGUUCAAGUGAUUCUUGUGCCUCAGCCUCCCGAGUAGCUGGGAUUACAGGUGUGCACCACCACGCCCAGCUAAUUUUUGUAUUUUUAGUGGAGACAGGGUUUCUCCAUGUUGGCCAGGCUGGUCUUGAAUUUCUGACCUCAGGUGAUCCACCUGCCUUGGCCUCCCAAAGUGCUGGGAUUACAGGCAUGAGCCACCACGCCCGGCCACAAGUAUAGGUUUCUUAAUGCAUACGUUGCACAGUGGUGAAGUUUGGCCUUUUACUGUAUCCGUCUCCAGAAUCGUGAAUGUUGUACCCAAUGUAUAAUGUCCUUUUCAAGGAGCUGUGGAAAUGCAUGGUAGUGGGAAUGACUGUAUUCUGUUUAGCACUUUUCUUGGUCAUAAGAGAUUGGUUAACUUUAGUAUUUUUGAAAAAAAUAUUAUGUGACCAUCAGUUUUUGUAUAAGAAGAAACUUAGCUGGUUUGAAUUUAACUUUUGUGGAACAGUGUGUAAAGAUUGGCUUCUUUUUGCCAGUCAGUACAUAGCUAGCUAUCCCUGGCACUCACUGGCAUAUGUCUGUAUGUAAAGACCUCGUACAAAUCUAUUAGAAAAAUAUACUCUAAAAGAAAAAUGAGGCCAGGUGCAGUGGCUCACGCCUGUAAUCCCACCACUUUGGGAGGCUGAGGCAGGCGGAUCAUGAGGUCAGGAGAUUGAGACCAUCCUGGCUAACACGGUGAAACCCCGUCUCUACUAAAUAUACAAAAAAUUAGCCGGGCGUGGUGGCGGGUGCAUGUAAUCCCAGCUACUCAGGAGGCUGAGGCAGGAGAAUGGCGUAAACCCGGAAGGCGGAGCUUGCAGUGAGCUGAGAUCUGGCCACUGCACUCCAGCCUGGGCUACAGAGUGAGACUCCGUCUCAAAAAAAAAAAGAAAAAUGAACAAAGAGCUAAGUGGAUAAAUGAGGCUGUAAAUAUUCCACUAAUUUUGGGUGUUUUACACUUUAAUAUAGUAGGCCAUUGCUGCUUGCUUCAUCUUACAUUCUUUUUUUUUUUUUUUUUGAGAUGGUGUCUUGCUCUGUUGCCCAGGCUGGAGUGCAGUGGCACAGUCUCGGCUCACUGCAACCUUCACUUCCCGGGUUGAAGUGAUUCUUCUGCCUCAGCCUCCCAAGUAGCUGGGAUUACAGGCAUGCGCCACCAUGCCCAGCUAAUUUUUAUAUUUUUAGUGGAGAUGGGGUUUCGCCAUGUUGGCCAGGCUGGUGUUGAACUCCUGACCUCAGGUGAUCCUCCUGCCUCAGCCUCCCAAAGUGUUGGGAUUACAGGCGUAAACCACUGCACCUGGCCUUAUAUUCUUUUUAAAUAAGCUAUAAGGGAUUUCAGCAGGGAAAAUUGGAUUCCAUUUUUAAACAUGUUUUCAACCAUUGUUUUUAGUUCAUCUACUUUAAAAGUACAACUAUUUUUUUUUUUUUUUUUUUUUUGAGAUGGAGUCUUGCUCUGUCGCCAGGCUGGAGUGUAGUGGCACAAUCCCGGUUCACUGCAACCUCUGCCUCCCGGGUUCAAGUGAUUCUCCUGCCUCAGCCUCCCAGGUAGCUGGGAUUACAGGUGUGCGCCACUACGCCCAGCUAAUUUUUGUACUUUUAAUAGAGACGGGGUUUCACCAUGUUGGCCAGGAUGGUCUUGAUCUCUUGACCUUGUGAUCCGCCCACCUCGGCCUCCCAAAGUGCUGGGAUUACAGGCGUGAGCCACCGCGCCCUGCCACUAAAAGUGUAACUAUUAAUAAUAUACCGUGUUGCACCAACUUUAAGAAGCUCAAGCCAGACACUGUGGUUCACGCCUGACAUUGUGGUCAAUGGUCAACACUUUGGGAGGCUGAGGCAAGAUGAUGGCUUGAAGCCAGCAGUUCAAGACCAGCCUGGGUAACAUAGUGAGACCCCCAUCUCUUUUUUUUUUUUUUUUUGAGAUGUAGUCUCGCUCUGUCGCCAGGCUGGAGUGCAGUGGCGCGAUCUCGGCUCAUUGCAACCUCCACCUCCUGGGUUCAGGUGGUUCUCCUGCCUCAGCCUCCCGAGUAGCUGGGAUUACAGGCGUGUGCAACCAUGCCCGGCUAAUUUUUUGUAUUUUUAGUAGAGACGGGGUUUCACCAUGUUGGCCAGGAUGGUCUCGAUCUCUUGACCUCAUGAUCUGCCUGCCUUGGCCUCCCAAAGUGCUGGGAUUAUAGGUGUGAGCCACCAUGCCUGGCCGCAAUCCCCAUCUCUACAAAAAAAAAGAAAAUUUUUGCCAGACGUGGUGGUACAGGCCCGUAGUUCCAGCUGCUUGGGAGGCUGGGGUGGGAGGAUUGCUUGAGGCCAGGAGGUUGAGGCUGCAGUGAGCUAUGAUCACACCACUGCACUCCAGCCUGGGUGACAGAGCGAGACCCUGUCUCAACAAACAAACAAACUGAAAAACAAAAAAAGUAGCGGCUCUUUAAGUCUUAGUUUUGCUAGAGUUCAGUUUUACCACAUAUUUCCAAGGGGACUUUCAUCUAGAGGAAGGAAAUCCAUAAAGAUAUACUUGUUGGAAGGGAAUAUGAUCUAUAUUUUAUUCUAUAGGCAUACAUACAUACAAACUAUGUAUCAUACAUAGUUGGCCUUUGUAGCUGCUGUUCCACAUCUGAGGAUUCAACUAACUGUGGAUUGAAAAUAUUUGAAAAAACAAUAAAAGAAGAUAAUGCAAUAGUUUAAAAAAUAUAAGUAAAAAAAAACAGUGUAACAACCAUUUACAUAGCAUGUACACUGUAUUAGGUAUUAUAAGCAAUCUAGAGAUGAUUUAAAGUAUAUAGGAGGAUGUACGUAGGUUAUAUGCAGAUAUAUUGUUUUUUUGAGGCAAAGUCUUUCUCUGUUGUACAUGCUGGAGUGUAGUGGCACAAUCACGACUCUCUGCAGCCUCAAACUCCUGGGCUCAAGCAGUCUCCCUCUAGCUUCCCACAUAGCUAAGACCACAGGCAUGUGCCACCAUGCCCGGCUAAUUUGUUUAUUUUUAUAGAGACGGGAUCUCCCUAUGUUGUCCAGGCUGGUCUUGAACUCCUGGACUCAAGCCAUCCUCUUGCCUUGACUUCCCAAACUGCUGGGAUUACAGGUGUGAGCCAUUGCGCCUGGCCACCAUUUUAUUUGAGGGACCUGGGCAUCUGAUGGUUUUGGUAUUCGUGGGAGUCCCGGGGCCAGUACCCAUGGGUACUGAGGGAUGGCUGUAUAUAUAAUUAUGUGAGUGUAUAUAUGUAUGUAUAUAAAUUUGGGAAUUCAUCAUAACGGAGUUCACUGGGGUGGAUAGGCGAGACCAGGGUAGCCCGGAAACACCAGGCUGGUUACAUUUGGCCUGGUCAUACAAUUUUCUCAGUGAUACACACACCAUUUUCUAUGU
RNAcentral lists this long non-coding RNA (4682 nucleotides) under Homo sapiens (human). RNAcentral describes it as "long non-coding RNA NONHSAT168813.1". Lineage: Eukaryota; Metazoa; Chordata; Mammalia; Primates; Hominidae. The record is from RNAcentral.